This is a long non-coding RNA of Quercus lobata, 965 nucleotides long. RefSeq lists it as uncharacterized. The transcript is spliced from 7 exons. NCBI's taxonomy places the organism in Eukaryota, Viridiplantae, Streptophyta, Magnoliopsida, Fagales, Fagaceae. The record is from RefSeq and is a predicted model, not a curated record.
UCUAUUUCCCUCCCUCACUCGAUGCCCUCACCAGAAAACUUCAACUAGUGAGGUCGACGAUUUCACCGGUACCGUCAGCAUCGCCGACAUCGUCAACGGUAUCGUUAGCAUCGACGAUUUCAUUGGCGAGCUCACCGACCCAGGAACCGCCGUCGCUUGAGCUCGCUAACCUAGGAAUCAACGUCGUCGUCGCCUUUCGCCUGACUGUUCACCUUCCACCUGACCAUUCGCCUCCCACCUGAUCGUUCGCCUUCCACCUCUCGCCGUUGAUCUCACCUCUCGCCUCUUCACCGAUCUCCCUCAGCAUCCGCUCCCCCGUCGAAGCCCUCCCACAACAAGGCUCUCAAGCAGCUUGAAGACGCCGUCGCUAAAGGCGACUCCUCCUCCGUCGUUAAGUUGCAGAGCACCAUCAAGUUCAAUGGCGGAGGUCAUAUCAACCACUCAAUUUUUUGUUAGAAUCUAACUCCUGUUUUUGAAGGAGGUGGUGAGCCCCCGCAUGAUUCCUUAGGUUGAAGCUGAAGAUAUCUGAAGCUUAAAACUAUUGUAGAUUCCUAACUUCGUUUUCUUCAAGGCUAAAUACAUAUUGUUUACAAUAACUUUGGAUUUUUUCUGAAAGUUGUAAGAUUAGCUUGAGCAAAAUGAGGUCCAAGAUGAGUGAGCUAAGGACCAAGAGCACGAACUAAGCAAGAUGAGGUCCAAAAGAAUAUUCUUAACUUUUUGAGGAGCAAGGGUUAUGAUGAUGCUCUUACUUAUGGGGGUGGUUCAACUUCAAGUUAAAACACUUUUUGAUUUCUUAUUGGUGGCUUUUAGGGGAUUUACUUUUGGCAUUACUUGAAGACAUAUGAGGACAUCUUCCGUUAGUUCUAAAAUAGGGUUUAGGUAGAGUUAUUGUAUGUAUUGCAAACAAUUAUUGUAUGGAAGUAGUUUGAAUUGGAUACUUGUUUUAUUUUUUACUUGUGGAAUGU